Molecule: long non-coding RNA, 625 nt
Organism: Motacilla alba alba
Lineage: Eukaryota; Metazoa; Chordata; Aves; Passeriformes; Motacillidae
Exons: 4
Source: RefSeq, a predicted model, not a curated record
GAAGAGAAAAUAUUAUUAAGACAAUGUAUGAAGAAAACACAAAAAUGACUCUUGGAAUAUACAGCUUUGCCUCCUCUUGUCUUGGAGCACCUUCCUGAAAAUGGUCAACGUGGUUCAAUUUCCAGCUAGGACAUAAUUUGCACAAUAACCUGAAGUUGAAAUUAAUACUCAGAAACAAGCUCUACUGGGCUUAAGAAAAAUCCAUUAAGCUGUCUGCAUUAGAGGAAGAAGCUGACCAAUGGAGUUGGAGCACAUUUGUUAUACUGUAAGAAGAAAGUUUCAGACAAAUAUCACAGGAACCAGGAUGACACUCCAAUAAGACGGAAAAGUAAUUCACAGCUGCACCUUCUCUGCUCUGCUCAGCGAAGACCAAGGACAAAUGGCAGGAAAACCUGGAGCGUUUUGCUGCAGGUCGGGAGUAGCCACUAGGAGGGGCUGACUGCCUUGAAGAGAAGGUAUAAUCCCCUGAAGAUGUAGGUGGGUUUCUUCUGUGGUUCAGGUACUAACCUAGGACUCACAAGAGAAGAGUUCAAUGUCCUGCUGUGUUACAGACUUCUGAAGCAAGCAAUGUGGUAUUUCAUUUCACCAUCUAUGACAAAGGCAUAAUUUCAUCUGUAUUCUAGGG